RNAcentral lists this ribosomal RNA (497 nucleotides) under uncultured bacterium. RNAcentral's name for it is "partial 16S ribosomal RNA". It matches the Rfam family "Bacterial small subunit ribosomal RNA", at positions 28 to 507 of the family's 1533-position model. The record is from RNAcentral.
GACGAACGCUGGCGGCGUGCCUAAUACAUGCAAGUUGAGCGAUGAAGACUGGUGCUUGCACCAAUUUGAAGAGCAGCGAACGGGUGAGUAACGCGCGGGGAAUCUGCCUUUGAGCGGGGGACAACAUUUGGAAACGAAUGCUAAUACCGCAUAACAACUUUAAACAUAAGUUUUAAGUUUGAAAGAUGCAAUUGCAUCACUCAAAGAUGAUCCCGCGUUGUAUUAGCUAGUUGGUGAGGUAAAGGCUCACCAAGGCGAUGAUACAUAGCCGACCUGAGAGGGUGAUAGGCCACAAUGAGACUGAGACACGGCCCAAACUGCUACGGGAGGAAGCAGUAGGGAAUCUUAGGCAAUGGACGAAAGUCUGACCGAGCAACGCCGCGUGAGUGAAGAAGGUUAUCGGAUAGGAAAAAUCUGUUGGUAGAGAAGAAAGUUGGUGAGAGUGGAAAGCUCAUAAAGUGACGGUAACUACCCAGAAAGAUACGGAUAAAUACGUG